CGCCCCUUUCGGGGGGAGCGGCGGACGGGUUAGUAACGCGUGGGAACGUGCCUCUCUCUACGGAACAGCCCAGGGAAACUUGGAUUAAUACCGUAUACGCCCCUUGGUGGAGACAUCUUGGGGGAAAGAUUUAUCGGAGAGAGAUCGGCCCGCGUUGGAUUAGGUAGUUGGUGGGGUAAUGGCCUACCAAGCCUACGAUCCAUAGCUGGUUUGAGAGGAUGAUCAGCAACACUGGGACUGAGACACGGCCCAG
RNAcentral lists this ribosomal RNA (253 nucleotides) under uncultured bacterium. Its description in RNAcentral is "partial 16S ribosomal RNA". It matches the Rfam family "Bacterial small subunit ribosomal RNA", at positions 67 to 334 of the family's 1533-position model. The record is from RNAcentral.